CCUACGGGAGGCAGCAGUGAGGAAUAUUGGUCAAUGGGCGCAAGCCUGACCCAGCAACGCCGCGUGAAGGAAGAAGGCUUUCGGGUUGUAAACUUCUUUUGUCAGGGAAGAGUAGAAGACGGUACCUGACGAAUAAGCCACGGCUAACUACGUGCCAGCAGCCGCGGUAAUACGUAGGUGGCAAGCGUUGUCCGGAUUUACUGGGUGUAAAGGGCGUGUAGCCGGGUUGACAAGUCAGAUGUGAAAUCCUGCGGCUUAACCGCAGAACUGCAUUUGAAACUGUUGAUCUUGAGUACUGGAGAGGCAGACGGAAUUCCUAGUGUAGCGGUGAAAUGCGUAGAUAUUAGGAUGAACACCAGUGGCGAAGGCGGUCUGCUGGACAGCAACUGACGGUGAGGCGCGAAAGCGUGGGGAGCAAACAGGAUUAGAUACCCCUGUAGUC
This 442-nucleotide ribosomal RNA is filed under the name uncultured bacterium. RNAcentral's name for it is "partial 16S ribosomal RNA". It matches the Rfam family "Bacterial small subunit ribosomal RNA", at positions 338 to 795 of the family's 1533-position model. The record is from RNAcentral.